CCUCUCAUGGCGUAGUGGUAACGCGCCCCAACUAUAGAUCGGGGAGUCGUGAGUUCGAUUCUCACUGAGAAGA
Molecule: non-coding RNA, 73 nt
Organism: Aedes aegypti (yellow fever mosquito)
Lineage: Eukaryota; Metazoa; Arthropoda; Insecta; Diptera; Culicidae
Source: Rfam